RNAcentral lists this unclassified non-coding RNA (381 nucleotides) under uncultured fungus. RNAcentral's name for it is "partial contains small subunit ribosomal RNA, internal transcribed spacer 1, and 5.8S ribosomal RNA". The stretch from base 1 to 73 matches the Rfam family "Eukaryotic small subunit ribosomal RNA", at positions 1759 to 1831 of the family's 1831-position model. Lineage: Eukaryota; Fungi. The record is from RNAcentral.
GCAAACUUGGUCAUUUAGAGGAAGUAAAAGUCGUAACAAGGUUUCCGUAGGUGAACCUGCGGAAGGAUCAUUAACGAAUCGUAAGGACUUUGCUGUCGCUGGCUCUCUCUGGGAGCAUGUGCACGCUCAGUUCAAACCUUUCAUUCUUUAACCUCCUGUGCACUUUUGUGGAUCGCGGAUUGGAUAAAUUUUCAUUCAAAGUAACAUUUGGUCUUGGAAAAUGCGCAUAUAUGCGCUCUUUCCUACUUCUGUCUGCGGUCCAUGUCUUUUUAUUAAACUAUUAUAACAACCUUGAAUGCAUUAAUGGAGUUUCGUCUCCUUAAAACUUAUACAACUUUCAACAACGGAUCUCUUGGCUCUCGCAUCGAUGAAGAACGCAGC